Molecule: non-coding RNA, 105 nt
Filed under: Rhodobacteraceae bacterium HTCC2150
Lineage: Bacteria; Pseudomonadati; Pseudomonadota; Alphaproteobacteria; Rhodobacterales; Paracoccaceae
Also listed under: 1 other name
Description: TPP riboswitch aptamer (THI element)
Rfam family: TPP riboswitch aptamer (THI element)
About the family: Vitamin B(1) in its active form thiamin pyrophosphate (TPP) is an essential coenzyme that is synthesised by coupling of pyrimidine and thiazole moieties in bacteria. The previously detected thiamin-regulatory element, thi box was extended, resulting in a new, highly conserved RNA secondary structure, the THI element, which is widely distributed in eubacteria and also occurs in some archaea. Analysis of operon structures identified a large number of new candidate thiamin-regulated genes, mostly transporters, in various prokaryotic organisms.
Source: Rfam by way of RNAcentral
GACCCUACCUCGGGGUGCGUGAGAAAUCGCGCUGAGAUGCCAUGUGGCGGACCCGUUGAACCUGAACCGGCUAACACCGGCGGAGGAAAGGUACUGGUUUCACCC